CAGAACAUGACGUUGUUUCAAGACAAAAUUGUGGACUGUUACCGAAGAUACGCCUUGUUGGUUGUCGCAACGCGCCCUGAUCUUCUCGGCGAGGAACUGAGCAAUAACAUCGACAAGAUUACAAGGGAAACUAGGGUAUGCAUGAAGAAGAGAAUGCCGAAGGACAAAGACGUCAUGCUGGGCGUGAUCCGCUACAUACGGCGACUCUUCUUCAUGGCAUGAUCCUACUGAAAUGCUGUGUGCCAA
RNAcentral lists this long non-coding RNA (246 nucleotides) under Dermacentor andersoni. RNAcentral describes it as "uncharacterized LOC126542188". The record is from RNAcentral. Lineage: Eukaryota; Metazoa; Arthropoda; Arachnida; Ixodida; Ixodidae.